RNAcentral lists this small nucleolar RNA (129 nucleotides) under Rattus norvegicus (Norway rat). RNAcentral describes it as "Small nucleolar RNA SNORA61". It matches the Rfam family "Small nucleolar RNA SNORA61". Rfam says of the family: ACA61 is a member of the H/ACA class of snoRNA that guide the sites of modification of uridines to pseudouridines. Lineage: Eukaryota; Metazoa; Chordata; Mammalia; Rodentia; Muridae. The record is from Rfam by way of RNAcentral.
AGCCUCCUGUUUCCAGUCUAUCUGAUCUUGAUAUUGAUUUUGGUGAUUGUAACGGAGGAAAAAAAAUACACUGUCUAGCCUCAUAGCUAUGUAGUCUAAUGUAGAGCACAGGGCUAAAUUCAAACAGAC